GCCAGGCGUGGUGGCGCACGCCUGUAAUCCCAGCUACUCGGGAGGCUGAGGCAGGAGAAUCACUUGAACCUGGGAGGCGGAGUUUGCAGUGAGCCAAGAUCAUGCCACUGCACUCCAGCCUGGGUGACAGAGCAAGACUCUGUCUCAA
Molecule: unclassified non-coding RNA, 148 nt
Organism: Pongo abelii (Sumatran orangutan)
Lineage: Eukaryota; Metazoa; Chordata; Mammalia; Primates; Hominidae
Rfam family: Metazoan signal recognition particle RNA
About the family: The signal recognition particle (SRP) is a universally conserved ribonucleoprotein. It is involved in the co-translational targeting of proteins to membranes.
Source: Ensembl